This 237-nucleotide ribosomal RNA is filed under the name uncultured Planctomycetota bacterium. RNAcentral's name for it is "uncultured planctomycete partial 16S ribosomal RNA". It matches the Rfam family "Bacterial small subunit ribosomal RNA", at positions 592 to 827 of the family's 1533-position model. The record is from RNAcentral. Lineage: Bacteria; Pseudomonadati; Planctomycetota.
UUGUGAAAGCCUUCCCCUCAACGGGAGAACGGCAGCCGAUACUGCAUAGCUUGAGUGCGGGAGGGGAGAGUGGAACUUCUGGUGGAGCGGUGAAAUGCGUAGAUAUCAGAAGGAACGCCGGCGGCGAAAGCGACUCUCUGGCCCGUAACUGACGCUGAGUGUGCGAAAGCUAGGGGAGCAAACGGGAUUAGAUACCCCGGUAGUCCUAGCCGUAAACGAUGGGCACUAAGUAGAGGG